GGGCCCGCACAAGCGGAGGAACAUGUGGUUUAAUUCGAUGAUACGCGAGGAACCUUACCCGGGCUUGAAAUGUGAGCGAAGUUACCCGAAAGGGUGAUGCCCUGCAAAGGCGCUCAUGUAGGUGCUGCAUGGUUGUCGUCAGCUCGUGCCGUGAGGUGUCGGCUUAAGUGCCAUAACGAGCGCAACCCACAUUGCCGGUUACUAACGGGUAAAGCCGAGGACUCCGUCGAGACUGCCGGCGCAAGCCGCGAGGAAGGUGUGGAUGACGUCAAAUCAGCACGGCCCUUACGUCCGGGGCGACACACGUGUUACAAUGGGGGGUACAGCGGGCAGCCACUUGGCGACAAGGCGCGAAUCCCGAAAGCCCCUCCCAGUUCGGAUCGGAGGCUGCAACCCGCCUCCGUGAAGCUGGAUUCGGCUAGUAAUCGCGCAUCAGCCAUGGCG
RNAcentral lists this ribosomal RNA (444 nucleotides) under uncultured Bacteroidota bacterium. RNAcentral describes it as "bacterial SSU rRNA". It matches the Rfam family "Bacterial small subunit ribosomal RNA", at positions 917 to 1359 of the family's 1533-position model. The record is from RNAcentral. Lineage: Bacteria; Pseudomonadati; Bacteroidota.